UGGGAAAUUCCCAUGGGCGAAAGCCUGACGGAGCAACGCCGCGUGAGGGAUGAAGGCCUUUGGGCUGGAAACCUGUUUUAUCACGGAAGAAGAUCUGACGGCACUUGAUGAAUAAGCCACGGCUAAUUCCGUGCCAGCAGCCGCGGUAAUACCAGCAGCCGCGGUAAUA
RNAcentral lists this ribosomal RNA (169 nucleotides) under uncultured cyanobacterium. Its description in RNAcentral is "partial 16S ribosomal RNA". It matches the Rfam family "Bacterial small subunit ribosomal RNA", at positions 356 to 537 of the family's 1533-position model. The record is from RNAcentral. Lineage: Bacteria; Bacillati; Cyanobacteriota.